UAUGGGAACGAAGGGUGUAUGGUGGAUGCCUUGGCUUCAAGAAGCGAUGAAGGACGUGAUAUGGCUGCGAUAAGUUUCGGGGAGGUGCCAAAUAACCUUUGAUCCGGAAAUGUCCGAAUGGGGAAACCCCACUGUCAUCGGCAGUGACCCUUGUAUGAGGGAGCGUACCUAGGGAAGUGAAACAUCUCAGUACCUAGAGGAAUAGAAAGCAAUAUACGGAAAUUUCUUUCUGGACAGAUGCAUUGCAUCUCGUUCAGGGACUAGUUCCUGAACGGAUGGUUUGCGCCAUUAUGUUCAGGAAGAAGUUUCUUGCGAUCCCCUGAGUAGCGGCGAGCGAAACGGGGACAGCCCAAACCGAACAUAUUUAUAUGUUCGGGGUUGUAGGGCGGAAUUAGCAUUUAGUUGCGAAGAGUUACAAAUCAGAUAUAUAGAAAAACACGUUGGGAAGCGUGACCCCAGUAGGUAAUAGUCCUGUAUUCGAAAUGUAUCCGACUCUUUUAGUUCCGUUCCUGAGUAACCCGAGACAUGAAUAGCUCGGGCGAACCCACCAGUACUAACUGGUAAGGCUAAAUAUUCUUGGAGACCGAUAGUGAACAAGUACCGUGAGGGAAAGGUGAAAAGAACCCCGGAGAGGGGAGUGAAAUAGAUCUGAAACCAUACAUCUACAAGGAGUCGGAGCCUUUCGGGGCGACGGCGUGCCUAUUGAAGAAUGAGCCGGCGAGUGUACCUUUAUCCUUUGUCUAAGUGGCAACCCCACGGAGGCGUAGUGAAAGCGAGCGUGAAUAGCGCGAAUAUAGGGUAGGGGUACGACCCGAAGCGGGAUGAGCUUGCCAUGAGCAGGGUGAAGCGACUGUAAUAGGUCGUGGAGGCCCGAACCGGUUGGCCGUACAAAACCAUCGGAUGACUUGUGGUAAGGAGUGAAAAGCUUAUCGAAUUCCGUAAUAGCUGGUUCUCUCCGAAACAGCUUUUGGGUUGGCGUCGCGUGGUCCCUCUGGGGGUAGAGCACUGGAAAAAAAGAACAGGGUGAAAACUCGUCUUUUUUAUCAAACUCCGAAUACCAGUAGGUUAUAGCGCGGCAGUUAGACUAUGGGGGCGAAGCUCCAUUGGUCGAAAGGGAAACAGCCCAGAUCGCCAGUUAAGGUCCCUAAAUAUAUACUCAGUGCAAAGUGAGGAGGUGAGGAUUCCUCAACAGCCAGGAGGUUGGCUUAGAAGCAGCCAUCCUUUAAAGAUAGCGUAACAGCUCACUGGUCGAGAGUCCUUGCGCCGAAAAUGAUCGGGGCUCAAGUAUAUUACCGAAACUGCGGAUUGGCAUCUUCUUCGGAAGGUGUCAGUGGUAGGAGAGCGUCCAUCUCUGCGAUGAAUCCAAGGCGAGAGCCGCGGUGGAGCGAGGUGGAGUGAGAAUGCCGGCACAAGUAACCGCAAGACGGGUGAGACCCCCGUCCGUCGAAAUACCAAGGUUUCCUUUGCGAUGGUGAUCAUCGAAGGGUUAGUCGGUCCUAAGGGAAUCCCGAAUGGGGGACCCGAUGGAUAGCAGGUUAAUAUUCCUGCACACUGUUAUGUUCCUAUGGAGGGACGGAGAGUUGUACUUGCAGCCCCUUAUUGGAUUGGGGUUGGAGCUAUGAGCGUGUCACAUUAGUAAAUCUAGGUGGCAAUAGCGCGAGUAGAGUCUAGAGGUGAGGCUUCGGCCGAUCUGAUUGUAAGGAGCACUCUUCCGAGAAAAACUUCGUUUGGGUUAAACAUAAUGGUUCCGUACCGCAAACCGACACAGGUGGUAGAGUCGAGAAGACUAAGACGAACGAGUGAGAGGUCCUCAAGGAACUCGGCAAAAAAGCGGCCGUAACUUAGGGAUAAGGCCUGCCCCUAUACUUUCGAGUAUAGGGGCCGCAGCGAAAGAUUUCCUGCCGACUGUUUAUCAAAAACACAGCUCCCUGCAAACACGAAAGUGGAAGUAUAGGGGGUGACGCCUGACCUAUGCCGGAAGGUUAAAUACGGGGGGUGCAAUGUAUUUAUAUGUUGUGCUGGACUGUAUAAGCCCCGGUAAAUGUCAGCGAUAACUAUAAUCGUUCUAAGGUUCAGCGCACUGUCCAAUAAACAGUACGCUGAACGGAUUGGAACGAUUAUAAACGAUAAACAGCCUAGCCACAGUUACCUUGUCUGCUUGAAAAAGUAGACAUAAUCCAAACCAAAUCUACAAGAGACCAACGUUUGGUACCGCAGCAUGUACGCAAGUAUGAUGGUGGUAAAGAUAGAGUCCUAUAUGUGUACAGUGUCGUUCAAGGGCGACCAUAAGAUACUCUUUAUUGAGUAUCGGAAAGAAGGAAUUAUAGAGCGUAUUUCCUUGUCGGGUAAGUUCCGACGUGCACGAAUGGCGUAACGAGUGGGAAACUGUCUCGAGGACCUGCUCGGUGAAAAUACAAUCCCGGUAAAGAUGCCGGGUACCUGCAGUUAGACGAAAAGACCCCAGGAGCUUUACUGUAGCUUCGUAUUGGGGCUGUUGAAUUGAUGCGUAGUAUAGGAAGGAGACUUUGAAGCGGGCUUUUGGGUACCGUGGAGUCGCCAGUGAAAUACUUCCCUUUAUUUUGGCAGUCUCUAACCCGGCGGGUAAAACCCGUCGGAGACAGUGCGUGGCAGGCAGUUUUAGUGGGGCGCUACCCUCCCAAAUUGUAACGGAGGGGUCUCAAGGUUGGUUAAUCGCGAAUGGAAACCGUGAUGAUAGUGUAAUGGCAUAAACCAGCUUGACUGUGAGCCGUAGAUGGCGAACAGAUACGAAAGUAGAGCAUAGUGAACCGAUGGUCCGCGUUAGAUGCGGCCGGAGAUUACCCGAUAAAAGUUACCCUGGGGAUAACAGGCUAGUUGCGCCCAAGCGUCCAUAGCGACGGCGCAGUUCGGCACCUUAAUUUUGAACGUAAAAGUUGCAAAACAUCGGGGUGCCUAUGGUGGCAACACCAUACAAAAAUAAAUUGGCUAUAUGCUGGAAAUCCCAAGCCUAGAAGUAAAGAAAGCAUGCAAGGCCCAAACAGUAAUUCGAAAGAAUAAG
This 3037-nucleotide ribosomal RNA is filed under the name metagenome. RNAcentral's name for it is "bacterial LSU rRNA". It matches the Rfam family "Bacterial large subunit ribosomal RNA". The record is from RNAcentral.